Oreochromis niloticus (Nile tilapia) is the source of this 938-nucleotide long non-coding RNA. RefSeq lists it as uncharacterized. The record is from RefSeq and is a predicted model, not a curated record. NCBI's taxonomy places the organism in Eukaryota, Metazoa, Chordata, Actinopteri, Cichliformes, Cichlidae. The transcript has 2 exons.
UGACGAGUGUGGGAAGGAUUUUACUUUGAAGUCUAAACUAAAACAACAUCAGCUCAUCCACACUGGAGAGAGACCGUUCAGCUGUGACUUGUGUGGAAAGUCGUUUUCCAGGAAGAAUGCCCUAAAAAGACACCAAAUCCUCCACAGUGGAGUUAAAGCUUACACCUGUGAUCAGUGUGGUAAAGCUUUUACUCGAAGUAGCCACUUACAGAGACAUCUAGUUACCCACUCUGGAAUUAAGGCGUACAGCUGUGACAUCUGUGGAAAAACUUUCAGCCGGCUAUGGAGCCGAAAUACACACCUACGCAUUCACUCCGGAGAAAAUGUGUACUGGUGUGAUCAGUGUGGCAAGUACUUUACAACAGACGCACAGUUACAAAGCCACAUGUUUACCCACACUGAGGAGAGACCUUAUCAAUGUGACCUGUGUGAGAAGACUUUUAAAACUCCACAGUACCUGAGACGACACCAACAGAUCCACACCAGAAAGAGACUCUACAAGUGCAGUUACUGUGAGAAGCAGAGCGACACAGAUGGAUCCACUUCUCAACCCUGUCAUCGCUGUGGUGGUGGGAAAGACUUCCGUUGUGACAUCUGUGAAAAAACUUUCAGUCAGCAAGCCGGCCUAAAAAUACAUCAACGUAAACACACUGGAGACAAACUGAAAUACUGCAAAGAAUGUGGGAGAAGCUUCCCCACAUCACGUGACUUAAAACGACAUGAACUCUUUCACAGUGGGCUCAAAAAGCACCACUGUGAUCAGUGUGGGUCAUCCUUCACCACUGCAAGUGACCUUAAAACACACAAACGAGUCCACACAGGAGAGAAACCAUACAAGUGCAGACACUGUGACAAAAGCUUCUCAUGUUCAAGUAGUCGUAACAAGCAUGAACGUACACACAUGGAAGGAAACUACAGCUGUGAGCAGUGUGACAAGA